UGUAGCAAUACAUGCUGACGAGCGGCAGACGGGUGAGGAACACGUACGCAACCUCCCUCAAACCGGGGCACAACCUUGAGAAAUCAGGGCUAAUUCCCCAUAACAUUGCGAAAGGGCAUCUGAUUGCAAUUAAAGAUUUAUCAGUUUGAGAUGGGCGUGCGUUCGAUUAGCUAGUUGGUAAGGUAACGGCCUACCAAGGCAACGAUCGAUAGCUGGUGUGAGAGCACGACCAGCCACACGGGCACUGAGAUACGGGCCCGACUCCUACGGGAGGCAGCAGUAAGGAAUAUUGGUCAAUGGACGCAAGUCUGAACCAGCCAUGCCGCGUGAGGGAUGAAGGUCCUCUGGAUUGUAAACCUCUUUUAUCUGUGAAUAAACGUCCUUUUUCUAAGGGAUUUGAAGGUAAUAGAUGAAUAAGCACCGGCUAACUCCGUGCCAGCAGCCGCGGUAAUACGGAGGGUGCAAGCGUUAUCCGGAUUUACUGGGUUUAAAGGGUGCGUAGGUGGGUUGGGAAGUCAGUGGUGAAAUACUAUAGCUUAACUAUGGAACUGCCAUUGAUACUAUCAAUCUUGAAUGUAGUGGAGGUAGGCGGAAUGCGUCAUGUAGCGGUGAAAUGCUUAGAUAUGACGCAGAACACCAAUUGCGAAGGCAGCUUGCUACACUACUAUUGACACUGAGGCACGAAAGCGUGGGGAUCAAACAGGAUUAGAUACCCUGGUAGUCCACGCCCUAAACGAUGAUUACUCGAUCUCGGCGAUACACAGUCGGGGUCUAUGUGAAAGCAUUAAGUAAUCCACCUGGGGAGUACGAUCGCAAGAUUGAAACUCAAAGGAAUUGAC
This 839-nucleotide ribosomal RNA is filed under the name uncultured Sphingobacteriia bacterium. Its description in RNAcentral is "bacterial SSU rRNA". It matches the Rfam family "Bacterial small subunit ribosomal RNA", at positions 75 to 914 of the family's 1533-position model. The record is from RNAcentral. Lineage: Bacteria; Pseudomonadati; Bacteroidota; Sphingobacteriia.